Long non-coding RNA from Pipra filicauda (Wire-tailed manakin), 1363 nucleotides. RefSeq lists it as uncharacterized. The transcript has 2 exons. Lineage: Eukaryota; Metazoa; Chordata; Aves; Passeriformes; Pipridae. The record is from RefSeq and is a predicted model, not a curated record.
AAGAACGAAUGAACAAACGAAUGAUGAAAAGAAAAUAGUGGGGUGAGUUUGUGUAUAAUGAACGAAUGAACAAACGAAUGAUGAAAGGAAAAUAGUGGGGUGAGUUUGUGUAUAAUGAACGAAUGAACAAACGAAUGAUGAAAGGAAAAUAGUGGGGUGAGUUUGUGUAUAAUGACCGAAUGAACAAACGAAUGAUGAAAGGAAAAUAGUGGGGUGAGUUUGUGUAUAAUGAACGAAUGAACAAACGAAUGAUGAAAGGAAAAUAGUGGGGUGAGUUUGUGUAUAAUGAACGAAUGAACAAACGAAUGAUGAAAGGAAAAUAGUGGGGUGAGUUUAGUUGGAUAAAAAAUUUUAACGAAUUGAUGAUGCAAACUUAGUUAAUUGGUAAAUUAGGGGAAUGGAAUGUUUGUAAAAUUUAAAGUUUUUGUAAAAAAUUUUUAAAACAAAAAUUAAUGAUGAAAAGCGGAAAGGUCCCUAGAUCAUUGCAAAAAUGACAAAAUUUUUGUGAUUUUUUUGCAAAAUUGACAAGAAAAAAUGAGAAAAAUCAUGUCUUGCGUGCAUUAAUUAAACGGCAACUUGAUGAGAGACGUAAUUGAAGAGCCAAGCCAAUAGCGCCUGACGGUGAAUCAGUGCAACAGCAUGAGACCGAGUAGCAUCCUGCAUACCAUAUCAUUAAUUUACACGCGAAAGUGAGAAAACCGCUCGCCGACCAUAAGGCGCACACGUCCACCAUAUAUGGUAGCCCACUGGCGGAGCACUCUGAAGGGCUUAUUGAGAUCUACCCCAAAAAAAAAAACCAAAAGUUUAGAAAAGAGAAAAUGCCGCGAUCACGGGGUCCGAGUUGGCCAAGCAUCCCCAACCAUUAGUAACGGAGCGCAAGUUUAGGAAAAUUAAGCAAGUUAUGGCCCUGACCGAGGAACCAGAGGCGACAAAGAGCAAGUUAUGAGAGCGGGUUUUUAGGGGCAGAAGAAAGAAUACACCUGAAGCUGGACAUGAUAAACAUUACUAACGCCGGGUUGCUGGUUUCUCGUGAGGGGUACGAUUAAUAAAUAACCCAGCACUUCUUGGUCAGCGCGUAGAGCAAGGUUAAGUGGUGAGGGGUCCUGAACGGGGGAUUCUAGGUCCUGUGACGUUCCUCGUAUUGUAAAGGAAUUUAUGCGAAAAUUAACGAGUUUAGGUUUUAGUUCGUUUAGCGGAAUUAUUCCUAGAACAUGACAUGGUAUGGGGUUAAGUAGAAAUGUGCCUAGGUAUGUUUAUGUCUUGGUUUGGGGUGUAUGGGAGAAAGCAUGAAAAUUUGGUUGGUUUUGCAAUAAUGGUGUACCCGAUUUUCCUACAUGGAUGUUAUGUCUAAUGUGGUGGAGAA